CCACGAGCCGUCAGACCUGGGUGGCUACCAACACCCUGAGCAAGGCGGCCUUCCUGUUGACAGUGCUAAGUGAGCGUCCAGAGCACCACAACCUGGCCUUCCGAGUUGGCAUGUUUGCCUUGGAGCUACAGAGGCCUCCAGCUUCUACCAAGGCCUUGGAGGUAAAGCUGGCAUACCAGGAGUCUGAGGUGGCUGCCCUGCUCAAGAAGAUCCCUCUGGGUCCAAGCGAGAUGAGUACCAUGCGGUGCCGGGCAGAGGAACUUCGGGAGGGGACACUCUGUGACUAUCGGCCUGUGUUGCCUCUCAUGCUGGCCAGUUUCAUCUUUGACGUUCUCUGUGCUCCAGGUUCCCGGCCCCCAAGUCGCAACUGGAACAGCGAGACACCUGGGGAUGAGGAGCUGGGAUUUGAAGCAGCAGUUGCUGCCUUGGGCAUGAAGACAACAGUGAGUGAGGCAGAACAUCCCCUCUUAUGUGAAGGCACACGUCGGGAGAAGGGUGACCUGGCAUUAGCACUAAUGAUCACUUACAAGGACGACCAGGCCAAGCUUAAGAAGCCUGGGCAACAGAGCGAGACCCUGUCUCUUAAAAAAAAAA
This 594-nucleotide small RNA is filed under the name Pan troglodytes (chimpanzee). RNAcentral describes it as "processed transcript". The record is from RNAcentral. Lineage: Eukaryota; Metazoa; Chordata; Mammalia; Primates; Hominidae.